UACGAGGGGGGCAAGCGUUGUUCGGAAUUAUUGGGCGUAAAGGGUGCGUAGGCGGUUUGACAAGUCUUAUGUGAAAUCUUCGGGCUCAACCCGAAGUCUGCAUGGGAAACUGUCGGGCUUGAGUAUGGGAGAGGUGAGUGGAAUUUCCGGUGUAGCGGUGAAAUGCGUAGAUAUCGGAAGGAACACCUGUGGCGAAAGCGGCUCACUGGACCAUAACUGACGCUGAGGCACGAAAGCUAGGGGGAGCAAACAGGAUUAGAUACCCUGGUAGUCCUAGCCCUAAACGAUGAUUGCUUGGUGUGGCAGGUACCCAAUCCUGCCGUGCCGAAGCUAACGCGAUAAGCAAUCCGCCUGGGGAGUACGGUCGCAAGGCUGAAACUC
RNAcentral lists this ribosomal RNA (381 nucleotides) under uncultured bacterium. Its description in RNAcentral is "bacterial SSU rRNA". It matches the Rfam family "Bacterial small subunit ribosomal RNA", at positions 524 to 902 of the family's 1533-position model. The record is from RNAcentral.